RNAcentral lists this ribosomal RNA (477 nucleotides) under Candidatus Brocadia fulgida. RNAcentral's name for it is "bacterial SSU rRNA". It matches the Rfam family "Bacterial small subunit ribosomal RNA", at positions 365 to 832 of the family's 1533-position model. Lineage: Bacteria; Pseudomonadati; Planctomycetota; Candidatus Brocadiia; Candidatus Brocadiales; Candidatus Brocadiaceae. The record is from RNAcentral.
UUCGCAAUGCCCGAAAGGGUGACGAAGCGACGCCGCGUGUGGGAAGAAGGCCUUCGGAUUGUAAACCACUGUCGGGAGUUAAGAAAUGCAGAGGCGUUAAUAGCGUCUCUGCUUGACUAAGGCUCCGGAGGAAGCCACGGCUAACUCUGUGCCAGCAGCCGCGGUAAUACAGAGGCGGCAAGCGUUGUUCGGAAUUAUUGGGCGUAAAGAGCACGUAGGCGGCUGUGUAAGUCGGUUGUGAAAGCCUUCCGCUCAACGGAAGAACAGCAGCCGAUUCUGCAUGGCUUGAGUGCGGGAGGGGAGAGUGGAACUUCUGGUGGAGCGGUGAGAUGCGUAGAUAUCAGAAGGAACGCCGGCGGCGAAAGCGGCUCUCUGGACCGUAACUGACGCUGAGUGUGCGAAAGCUAGGGGAGCAAACGGGAUUAGAUACCCCGGUAGUCCUAGCCGUAAACGAUGGGCACUAAGUAGAGGGGUUUU